RNAcentral lists this ribosomal RNA (253 nucleotides) under uncultured bacterium. Its description in RNAcentral is "partial 16S ribosomal RNA". It matches the Rfam family "Bacterial small subunit ribosomal RNA", at positions 524 to 776 of the family's 1533-position model. The record is from RNAcentral.
UACGUAGGGUGCGAGCGUUAAUCGGAAUUACUGGGCGUAAAGCGCACGUAGGCGGAUUUGUAAGUCAGGGGUGAAAUCCCGAGGCUCAACCUCGGAACUGCCUUUGAUACUGCAAAUCUCGAGUCCGGAAGAGGUGAGUGGAAUUCCUAGUGUAGAGGUGAAAUUCGUAGAUAUUAGGAAGAACACCAGUGGCGAAGGCGGCUCACUGGUCCGGUACUGACGCUGAGGUGCGAAAGCGUGGGGAGCAAACAGG